This is a long non-coding RNA of Wyeomyia smithii (pitcher-plant mosquito), 805 nucleotides long. RefSeq lists it as uncharacterized. Lineage: Eukaryota; Metazoa; Arthropoda; Insecta; Diptera; Culicidae. The transcript has 3 exons. The record is from RefSeq and is a predicted model, not a curated record.
CUUUGUUAACUGCCUCGUUUUGCUUCACUGCGAACCAAGUGUAUGUAGAAAAUUUGAGAUUCGUUCAGUUUAGUGAUAUGAAUUGGCCAACGUCACAGUCCAUUUGAAACACAUCAAAUAUAAUAGUGUGUACGACAACAAAAGAACCAGAUUCCAUGCAUCACAAAGGUUUCCCAAUCGCAAGAGUUCGAGUUAAACAAGCAAAUAUACACAGCUGGACGUUAAGACGAUGAUUCAUCCUGUCGGAUCGUAUUGCCAACAUCCGUCAUUCACAGGCUGCCGUAGGAGGACAGCCACAUGUAGUCGAUAGCAUAACGACGUUUGUUUCAUGCGAAGACGAUAUUUUUCAACGAGAUACACAAGACGAAGAUUGACGGAUACACAACCGUCCAAAAAAUACAUCCAAAUUUAUAUCCCUUGCAUUAAAAAAAAUAAAAUAAAAUGCAAUGCUUGUAUACAUCACCAGGCGUCUCCAUCCUAUGGAACUGCCCACUCCAUCCAACAGAACUGCAAAUGCUGUUACAAUCCGACAAAGUAGUGGAUUCAACAAAAAACUAUAGCAAAAGCAAACGAAGAAACUUGUACUACUGUCGGGAGAAAGAGAAUGAUUUGCUUUUUGAUGCAAUCAAAACUUUAUUCGAACUUCUCGAGGAAUAUCCAAUAGUUGGCUCAUACUCUCAGUAAAAAAGAGGCUACAAAGCAGGAGUAAUGUUCGCACUGUCCAAUUCAUGAAUGUCUUAUCAAGCGGUAUUUGAUGGAACGGUGAAAAUUAUCAAGUAACGAACAACAAAAGAUUGUAUACAAA